Molecule: long non-coding RNA, 663 nt
Filed under: Ananas comosus (pineapple)
Lineage: Eukaryota; Viridiplantae; Streptophyta; Magnoliopsida; Poales; Bromeliaceae
Description: long non-coding RNA (ACOM_LNC035961)
Source: RNAcentral
AACUUCAAAAAACCCCCCCCUGUGGUUUCGUGCUUUCUCACUUUAGUACCCUGUGGUUUAAAACGUAUCAAUUUGCCCCCCUGUGGUUUCGUUUUUUUCUUUUUGUUAUCAAUUUUAUUAUUAUUUUUUUCUUAAAUCAGUGACAAAGUUAAAAUUAAAGGAUACUAAAGUGAAUAUUCGAUAAAUAUAGAUGGUUAUCUGAAGUUUUUUGUAUAUAAUUUAACGAAAUAUUAACGAAAAAGCUUCCGAAAAGAUAAAAAUGAAACCACAGGGGGGCAAAUUGAUACGUUUUAAACCACAGGGUGCUAAAGUGAGAAUGCACGAAACCACAGGGGGGUUUUUGAAGUUUUCCCAAAAAAAAAUUUCCGAGAAAGAAAACUUUCAGUAAAAGUUUCUUUUCCAAUUUUUCGAUAAUUUGAUUUUAUGAAAAAACUAGAAUUCAUGGAUUAGAGUAUAAAAUCUGAAUUUGGAGUUAAGCUAGAAUUAUAAUUUUACAUGUUGGAAUUGGAAUUGAUUUAGAAGAAAUCUAUUGAACCCUACACUGUCAUUUCUGAAAAUUGCAAGAUUUAGCUUUACGAGUUGUGGUUCGUUUGUAUCACCGAUGUUCAUAUGCGGUGGAUAUCCAGAUUAGUGUAGGAUGAGUUUACGCUCGUGCUCGGAUGC